CUCAGACAAAAAGGAAUAAACCCAGAGAGUGUGUGCAUCGCCCAUUUUUUUAUGAUCCACACUGGGUGAGGAUAUCAAGAGUCCUGCAGGCGGGGUUAGCUCAGCGCUGCAGCGCCCGGGGUUGCUUUAGGUGCAGGACGCAGUGGGGCCGAUCCUGCUGCGAUGUCCUCGGAGAGAGCCUGGAGCUCGGCACGCUGCCUCCUGGCACCCCCAAAGUCUCCUUGAAUAUUUGGCCCAGCGACAGCACGAAGACGUUUGGAUGGGCUCAUCCCGGCGCUAACUGGAGACAUUUUGUUAUUAUCGCAGCCCCGUGCUAAUCAGCACCCCUGCCCCAGACUGCAGCUCCCAACGGGAUGCAACUCAGGCAGAUGAUCACAGGAGGGACACCGGGCACUCUGUGGCACCCUGGCCGCCCCACAGCACCCUGUCACCCUGUUCCCAGCCCUAGGGAAGCAGCCCCUGGGUGCAGCAUCGCCCUGCCAGCAGCAUCCCACAGCCGUGGCCGUGCUCCAAAUGGCCUCGCCACUGAUUUGCGGCGGCCUGAAGGCAUCAGCUCGCCAUGCCAGGAGGUUUCUCGGGGUGUGGGCACGGCAGCCGCAGCAUUUUGAGAGCGUCAGAGAGAACGAGGAGGAGCAAUCCCUCGGUGCAGGGGCAGGCUGGCAUGCGAGGAGCUGGCAGGAGCCCUUCAGAAAUGAGACGCGGAGGCAGCCUUUGAAGGAGCAAUCCUCAGGUCCAGAGACUUCAGCUCCCUUUUGGCACCUGGGGAACUCGGUGGGCCCAGGAACCCUGCAGGGGACCAGUGCCAGAGAGCAGCGGGUGCUGCAGAAAAAACAUUUUUGGCCAACACGUGGCAACAGCACCGCACACAAUGAGGCAACGGGAUCGACUUUGCACAGUGCCGGUGCAAAAGUAUUUUUGGCAACGUCAGCGUCCAACCGAUCGACUUUGGGAUGAAUCCUGAACCAGAGCGUGGCUGCUCGUGGUCUCCUGCUGAAGGGCAAGGGUCUGCUCCGCCUUCCUGGCUGAAAUCCAGUGUGCUCCGUGUGUUCUGCACCUCUGCCCUUUCUGAGAAAAAUCAGACCGGUGACAUCUCUGGGAAGUCACCCCCCAUCGCUGCCCAAAGCGGGGGCUGUAAAUCAGAGCUGGAUGCGAAUGAUUUAUUUUUUUAAAAGUCUCACUUGUGUUGGGUGUGGAUUCUCCAGGGUCUUGUAGGGUCGUCACUGCAAAUCUGCAUUCAGCCGUGGGACCGAGAAUUUCUUCCCUUUUAUCCCCAGCAGCUGACGCUCCCCGUCCUGCUCCGAGGAGGAGGCAGAGGUGGGCAGCACGUGGCCCGGGCUCCCAAAGCCGUUCAGGUCCCUGCUGAACUAUUUGGGAGGAGGCACCUGGAGCACACGGCAGCAUGAGCUUGAGUGCGUUCGCUUCAAAAAAUAAAAAAAAAAAUAAAGCAGAUGGUCUAUCGCCG
This 1462-nucleotide long non-coding RNA is filed under the name Anser brachyrhynchus (Pink-footed goose). RNAcentral describes it as "lncRNA (ENSABRG00000016328.1)". Lineage: Eukaryota; Metazoa; Chordata; Aves; Anseriformes; Anatidae. The record is from RNAcentral.